Non-coding RNA from Camelina sativa (false flax), 118 nucleotides. The record is from RefSeq and is a predicted model, not a curated record. Lineage: Eukaryota; Viridiplantae; Streptophyta; Magnoliopsida; Brassicales; Brassicaceae.
GAGAACGGAGAUCAGACAAAGGAGCCUGCUUGUUUCUCCACUGUGAUUCCUGGGUGGUUCUCUGAAAUGAGUCCCAUGUGGCCAGGUGAGGCACACUCUUUGAAGGUUGAGAAAGUUU